This 467-nucleotide long non-coding RNA is filed under the name Coturnix japonica (Japanese quail). RNAcentral describes it as "lncRNA (ENSCJPG00005019299.1)". The record is from RNAcentral. Lineage: Eukaryota; Metazoa; Chordata; Aves; Galliformes; Phasianidae.
UCUAAUGACUCCUAUACCAAACCCCCUCGCUAUCAUAACCCCUCCCACUAUUUUUUUUUUAGACUGGGCUGAAGAAUAAUGUGUUUUUAGAGAUAAUGGGUUUUAUAAAAAGAAAGAAAAAAGGACGCAACGCAGACAUUAUCAGCACGUCAACAUGUUCAGUGGAAAGGCAGCGUAAAAUGAGGCCAGGCUACAGCCAUGGAAUGGGGCUGAUAUCGGCAGAUAUCGCGUCUAUCGAGAAGCCGUUCCCACCAGGACGAUGAAAAAAAGACAUCCUCGGAGAGACCUGCUUAAAUACGUUAUUUCCUAGCUACAAAGGACUGCAAUUAAAAGAAAUUUAAAGAGUAAGCAAAAGGCAAGUCACCUGCAAAGCACCAGAGUCGGUGCCCUUAGGUAGGAGAAUUACAUCACUCCCUGACUGCUCGAUGUCCUCUUUUAAAUUAUAAAGCAGGUGAUUUUUAUUUUUA